GUCGGUGUAGUAUAGUGGUUAGUACGAUGUAGGUCAAGAAUCAGCGAGUGUGCGAUUUGAAAUGGAUGCUAACUCCCUCGAAGUCGUUGUGGUUCUGUAGUUCAGACCAGAUCCGAGUAGACCCAGGCUCGUUUCCUGGCACCGACA
This is a non-coding RNA of Pseudocercospora fijiensis CIRAD86, 147 nucleotides long. The record is from the annotation of a RefSeq genome assembly. NCBI's taxonomy places the organism in Eukaryota, Fungi, Ascomycota, Dothideomycetes, Mycosphaerellales, Mycosphaerellaceae.